This 330-nucleotide ribosomal RNA is filed under the name uncultured eukaryote. RNAcentral's name for it is "partial 18S ribosomal RNA". It matches the Rfam family "Eukaryotic small subunit ribosomal RNA", at positions 1470 to 1796 of the family's 1831-position model. The record is from RNAcentral.
CCCUUAGAUGUUCUGGGCCGCACGCGUGCUACACUGAUGCAUUCAACGAGUCUAAAACCUGGUCUGAUAGGGCUGGGUAAUCUUUUGAAAGUGCAUCGUGAUUGGGAUAGAUGAUUGCAAUUCUUCAUCUUCGACGAGGAAUGCCUAGUAAACGCAAGUCAUCAGCUUGCAUUGAUUACGUCCCUGCCCUUUGUACACACCGCCCGUCGCUCCUACCGAUUGAAUGAUCCGAUGAAUACCAUGGAUUGAGAGUACGAAUAGGUUCGCUUAUUUCUGCUGCUCGAGAAGUGGAGUAAAUCUUAUCAUUUAGAGGAAGGAGAAGUCGUAACA